AGUCGUAACAAGGUUUCACCACGGAGACCGUGCAUCCCUAUCGGGAGGCAGCGCGACUGAAAAUAACGCUGCCGUAUGCAAGUCAGGCAACUGGCAACACGAUCGAAUUGCGGGGACCUCCUAAAGCUUCACAUACCACCUACCCUUGAAAAGGGGCAGCACGGUAAUAAUGGUGGAGAUGUUACAAUGGACGAUCCGCAGCGAAGACCCUACAGCGUAAGCCAUGGGUAGCGUUCACAGACUAAGUGAUUGUGGGUGGCGUGCUACUUAAGAUAUAGUCGGGCCCUGACCGAAAGGCUGGGGGUAAAGGUCCGUAGGUGAACCUGCGGAAGGAUCAUUAAUAGAGCAAAGGACAGGCAGCGCCCCACAGAAGCUUGCUUCGUGGGGGCUACCCUACUUCGGUAGGGUUUAGAGCCGUCGAACCACUCGGAGAAGUUCGGUCCUAAACUCCACCCUUGAAUAAAUUACCUUUGUUGCUUUGGCAGGCCGCCUAGCGCCAGCGGCUUCGGCUGUUGAGUGCCUGCCAGGGGACCACAACUCUUGUUUUUAGUGAUGUCUGAGUACUAUAUAAUAGUUAAAACUUUCAACAACGGAUCUCUUGGUUCUGGCAUCGAUGAAGAACGCAGCGAAAUGCGAUAAGUAAUGUGAAUUGCAGAAUUCAGUGAAUCAUCGAAUCUUUGAACGCANNUUGCGCCCUCUGUAUUCCGGGGGGCAUGCCUGUUCGAGCGUCAUUAUACACUCAAGCUCUCGCUUGGUUUGGGGUUCGCGUCNGCNGCCCUAAAAUCAGUGCGNNGCCUGUCGGCUCUACGCGUAGUAAUACUCGUCGCGAUUGAGUCCGGUAGGUUUACUUGCCAGCAACCCCAAACUUUUUACAGGUUGACCUCGGAUCAGGUAGGGAUACCCGCUGAACUUAAGCAUAUCAAUAAGCGGAGGAAAAGAAACCAACAGGGAUUACCUCAGUAACGGCGAGUGAAGCGGUAACAGCUCAAAUUUGAAAGCUAGCUCUUCUAGGGUUCGCAUUGUAAUUUGUAGAAGAUGCUUCGGGUGUGGCCCCGGUCUAAGUUCCUUGGAACAGGACGUCAUAGAGGGUGAGAAUCCCGUAUGUGACUGGGUGCCUUCGCUCAUGUGAAGCUCUUUCGACGAGUCGAGUUGUUUGGGAAUGCAGCUCAAAAUGGGUGGUAAAUUUCAUCUAAAGCUAAAUAUUGGCCAGAGACCGAUAGCGCACAAGUAGAGUGAUCGAAAGAUGAAAAGCACUUUGGAAAGAGAGUUAAACAGUACGUGAAAUUGUUGAAAGGGAAGCGCUUGCAACCAGACUUGCGCGCUGAUGAUCAUCCGGGCUUCUGCCCGGUGCACUCGUCUGCGCUCAGGCCAGCAUCGGUUUCGGUGGUGGGAUAAAGGCCUUGGGAAUGUAGCUCCUCUCGGGGAGUGUUAUAGCCCCCGGUGCAAUGCCGCCUACUGGGACCGAGGACCGCGCUUCGGCUAGGAUGCUGGCGUAAUGGUUGUAAGCGACC
Molecule: ribosomal RNA, 1511 nt
Filed under: uncultured fungus
Lineage: Eukaryota; Fungi
Description: eukaryotic LSU rRNA
Rfam family: Eukaryotic large subunit ribosomal RNA (bases 878-1511)
Source: RNAcentral